Molecule: ribosomal RNA, 486 nt
Filed under: uncultured bacterium
Lineage: Bacteria
Description: partial 16S ribosomal RNA
Rfam family: Bacterial small subunit ribosomal RNA
Source: RNAcentral
AUUGAACGCUGGCGGCAUGCCUUACACAUGCAAGUCGAACGGCAGCACGGGUGCUUGCACCUGGUGGCGAGUGGCGAACGGGUGAGUAAUACAUCGGAACAUGUCCUGUAGUGGGGGAUAGCCCGGCGAAAGCCGGAUUAAUACCGCAUACGAUCUACGGAUGACGGCGGGGGACCUUCGGGCCUCGCGCUAUAGGGUUGGCCGAUGGCUGAUUAGCUAGUUGGUGGGGUAAAGGCCUACCAAGGCGACGAUCAGUAGCUGGUCUGAGAGGACGACCAGCCACACUGGGACUGAGACACGGCCCAGACUCCUACGGGAGGCAGCAGUGGGGAAUUUUGGACAAUGGGCGAAAGCCUGAUCCAGCAAUGCCGCGUGUGUGAAGAAGGCCUUCGGGUUGUAAAGCACUUUUGUCCGGAAAGAAAUCCUUGGCUCUAAUACAGUCGGGGGAUGACGGUACCGGAAGAAUAAGCACCGGCUAACUACGUG